CAGUCAUGUCACGUUAAAAGACCGAUUCCCGUACGAUCACCGAAGUUAAGGAACGUCGAGACUGGUCAGUAGUAAGAUGGGUGACGGCUAGACAAUACCAGGUGCUGUAUG
Molecule: non-coding RNA, 111 nt
Organism: Acanthosepion pharaonis
Lineage: Eukaryota; Metazoa; Mollusca; Cephalopoda; Sepiida; Sepiidae
Source: the annotation of a GenBank genome assembly